RNAcentral lists this long non-coding RNA (715 nucleotides) under Mustela putorius furo (domestic ferret). RNAcentral describes it as "lncRNA (ENSMPUG00000026176.1)". The record is from RNAcentral. Lineage: Eukaryota; Metazoa; Chordata; Mammalia; Carnivora; Mustelidae.
CUCUGCCUGCCUCUCUUUCUCUGUCUUUCUCUGUCAAAUAAAAAAACCUCAAAAAAAAAAAGUUGUGCCCCAUUUUAGGGUAGGGUUCUGUUACUUUCUCAGAAUUUUGAGGGUCCUCUGCUUACCAACACCUUUCUGCCUCAUCCACUUGAUUUUUUUCUGAUUGCAUUCGCCUCUCAUGCUCUUCUGCUAAAGACACCUUCUCUUUGGCACUCCCAAGAUCCAUGUUAAUUGUUCCUUUCUCUUUCCUUGCACACUCUAACGUUUUAUGACUUCUGCCUGAAACCUUUAUCCUCCCAGUUUUGUACUAUCCUUGGUCCUCUUUUCCUUCAAAAUGUGGUUGCAAAUUGUUUUUCUUUGAUGGAACCGCACAUAGGCAUUAACAUUUUUAAUCCAGGUUUUAAUGAGGUUGCUAGAACAGUGCGUCUGGGUUUUUUUAAUGUGUGCCAAUUGCCUUUAUUUCAGAUGUAAAUCUGUUGAGAGCAGAGACUGUCCUUAAAUAUUUGUUCUUCCCUUCUUCCUUGCCAUGUUCAGGAUGUGAUUUUAUUUAUUUGACAGAGAGAUCACAAGUAGGCAGAAGCAGGCUCCCCACUGAGCAGAGAGCCCAAUGUGGGGCUCGAUCCCAGGACCCUGAGAUCAUGACCGGAGCAGAGGCUUAUCCCACUGAGCCACCCAGGUAUCCCAUCAUGACCUUUUCUUUUGUAUUCCUACCUUU